Molecule: long non-coding RNA, 202 nt
Filed under: Coccomyxa subellipsoidea
Lineage: Eukaryota; Viridiplantae; Chlorophyta; Trebouxiophyceae; Coccomyxaceae
Description: long non-coding RNA (CSUB_LNC000766)
Source: RNAcentral
UGCAGCGCUUCCAGCGGCACCCAAGAGAUAACGACGGGAAACGUCUGCUUCAUGGGAGGCAGUACUUUUCACAACUGUGUGUCUAGAGAAUCUUUUCCCAGAAGAACGCCGCUGCAAAAGCUGAUGAUCGACUCGGGUGCUGCUGUGUAUGCACCGUGUGGUGCACGUCGCUGUCAAAUUCAUCCUUGUCUGAGUAUUUUGA